Molecule: non-coding RNA, 54 nt
Organism: Salmo salar (Atlantic salmon)
Lineage: Eukaryota; Metazoa; Chordata; Actinopteri; Salmoniformes; Salmonidae
Source: Rfam
UGUAUUCCCUACUGUAAGUUGCUCUGGAUAAGAGCGUCUGCUGAAUGACAAAAA